UUUUUUUUUUUUUUUUGAGACGGAGUCUCGCCCUGUCAGGCUGGAGUGUAAUGGCAUGAUCUCGGCUCACUGCAACCUCCAUCUCCCGGGUUCAAGCAGUUCCCUGCUUUAGCCUCGCGUGUAGCUGGGAUUACAGGAGCCUGCCACCACACCCGGCUAAUUUUUGUAUUUUUAGUAGAGGUGGGGUUUCACCAUCUUGGCCAGGCUAGGCUCGAACUCCUGACCUUGUGAUCCACCAGCCUCAGCCUCCCAAAGUGCUGGGAUUACAGGCGUGAGCCACUGCCCCCAGCCUCAGAUCCAUUUUUGAGACAGAACUAGUAUCCCUCAGCUUCCAAAUCCUACUUGCUAACUAGACACGGUACCCUUCCUGCUCACCAAAUGAGACAUAUUUGAAACAGAGCUGUUUUCCCUCAUGAUUCAACCUGUCCUUUCUCAACAUAAAAAAUGCAGGAACCAAAUACAUUCAGAGAAACUGUCUGAACUCUCACCAUACAAAUGCAAGAACUGAAUGGAUUUAGAAACAUUUUUGAGAUACGACUGGUAUCCCUCAUUCUUGAACUUUCGUUACUCUCCAGGCAAAAUGCAGGAACCUUUACAUAACAGGGUACCCUCACUAUCCCAACUCUUGUCCCUGGAGCUCAGGAAAGUUCAUAGAUUUGGAUAUAUUUUUGAGUUAAAGUCAUUAUUCUUCAUUAUCUCAAUUUUCCCCACUCACUAUGUAAGAUGUGAAAACAAAAUACCUUCAGAUAACUUGGUAGGUUUCACUGUCUGAACUUCGGGCGCUCUCCCUCUCAGAAUUCAGGUACCAAAUAGAUUGGGACAGUGAGGAAUGCUUGUGUUGUUAUCAAUAGGUUUGGAUAGAUAUUCAGGAUAAAUAAGAUAGGUCUGGCAUCUUGUUAUUCAAACUCACUAGUCUCUGUGAGAAAUGCAGGAACGAAACCUAAUUGAGUAACAUAUUACCUUCUAGCCAUCCAAGUUCUCCCCAUCAUCCUCGGAAUCAAGGAGAUUCGGACAAUGAGGGGAACCCUGCAUUAUUGUUGUUACUGUUACUACUGGACAGGCCUGAUUCUUACAUCCAGUGACUGCCUGGCCUUCUCUCCCACAGACAAGCCCCACAGAGGUGGGGUGGACUUAGCACCAAGAUUUUUAUUGCUUACUGCUGAGAGGAGGAGGAUGAAUCCUUGACCCCAUCCCUCCUCUAUACCAAGUCCUGAAGCCUUGGCCUAGAAUAGACUUCUUCUCUUUCAGGCCAGGAAAACAGGGAUCAUGCACCCAGAAUCAAGACCAGGGAAUAGGGGUAACAUGGCCUAGAAGAUUCAUACAUACCCCAGCAUCCCCCAUCUCUUCAUAUUUUCUCAACUCUUCCCCACAACGUGAGGCAGUCCCCAACACAGCAAGGCUGGAAACAUGACCCAGACCUCUCAGACUCCCAGAGAGUCACUGAAUAAUUUAGGGUAUUCUUUCACACUUGCAGAGGGCAGCAGCGUAGAACAGUUGCAUGCCCUCCUGGGGCAGGAAGAGAAAUGUAAGCUCUAUGUGAGAUCACUAGGGUGGGGGUAGGGGAGAUCACACACAAAAACCCCCAUUAGCCACGCAGGGUGCAUAGGGCUGCUUGCUCUUGCUAAGAGAAGCAUUUGGGACGUACUUCAGAGGUCCUGGUAACAGCAGAAUCUUCAAGUUCCGGGCACAGUAUAAUGGGACCC
This 1703-nucleotide long non-coding RNA is filed under the name Macaca fascicularis (crab-eating macaque). RNAcentral describes it as "lncRNA (ENSMFAG00000051160.1)". The record is from RNAcentral. Lineage: Eukaryota; Metazoa; Chordata; Mammalia; Primates; Cercopithecidae.